AUACGUAGGGUGCGAGCGUUAAUCGGAAUUACUGGGCGUAAAGCGUGCGCAGGCGGCUUUGCAAGACAGAUGUGAAAUCCCCGGGCUCAACCUGGGAACUGCAUUUGUGACUGCAAGGCUAGAGUACGGUAGAGGGGGAUGGAAUUCCGCGUGUAGCAGUGAAAUGCGUAGAUAUGCGGAGGAACACCAAUGGCGAAGGCAAUCCCCUGGACCUGUACUGACGCUCAUGCACGAAAGCGUGGGGAGCAAACAGGAUUAGAAACCCUUGUAGUCC
RNAcentral lists this ribosomal RNA (274 nucleotides) under uncultured bacterium. RNAcentral describes it as "partial 16S ribosomal RNA". It matches the Rfam family "Bacterial small subunit ribosomal RNA", at positions 523 to 796 of the family's 1533-position model. The record is from RNAcentral.